GGAGAGGUGCGAGAGUGGUUGAAUCGGUCUUCCUGCUAAGAAGUUGUACCUCAUAAGGGUACCGAGGGUUCGAAUCCCUCCCUCUCCG
Molecule: transfer RNA, 88 nt
Filed under: Entomospira culicis
Lineage: Bacteria; Pseudomonadati; Spirochaetota; Spirochaetia; Spirochaetales; Spirochaetaceae
Rfam family: tRNA
About the family: Transfer RNA (tRNA) molecules are approximately 80 nucleotides in length.
Source: Rfam by way of RNAcentral